This 353-nucleotide ribosomal RNA is filed under the name Entrophospora claroidea. RNAcentral describes it as "partial 28S ribosomal RNA". It matches the Rfam family "Eukaryotic large subunit ribosomal RNA", at positions 82 to 428 of the family's 3401-position model. Lineage: Eukaryota; Fungi; Glomeromycota; Glomeromycetes; Entrophosporales; Entrophosporaceae. The record is from RNAcentral.
AGUAACGGCGAGUGAAGAGGGAAAAGCUCAAAUUUUAAAUCUGCCUUGUUUCAAGGUCGAGUUGUAAUUUGAAGAAGCGUUUUCUUGGGCUCGCGGCCGGUAGAAGUUCUUUGGAACAGGACAUCAUAGAGGGUGACAAUCCCGUCUGCGACCGGUCGUGUGUUCAUCUACGUUACGCUAUUCAAAGGGUCGAGUUGUUUGGGAUUGCAGCUCCAAAUGGGUGGUAAACAUCACCUAAGGCUAGAUAUUGGCGAGAGACCGAUAGCGAACAAGUACCGUGAGGGAAAGAUGAAAAGAACUUUGAAAAGAGAGUUAAACAGUACGUGAAAUUGUUGAAAGGGAAACGAUUGAAG